UGACUUUAUUUCGAUACUCGCUUCAUUGGGUGGUCUGGACCCGAGCCCGCACUAUCUCCGAGGUCCGCCUGGACUGUAAUUGUUUAAAAACAUUUUUGUUCUUUGCAGUGCAACUCUUCUAAAAUACAAUCUUAUGUGGAAUCCCAGAUACACGAAGUGAAUUCAGGAUUCACACUGUGGGCGUGCACGUGUGGCAAGUCUUCCUCACAGCAGAGUCACUAGCAGCCCAAGGUGACGGCCCUUCUGUUCAGCUCCGGGUCUGAGGGUUGAAGACGCCAAACCCCGCUGGUUGAAGAUUCGCGUGUGUCACAGCUCCAUAAGCACAGACGCACCGGUGCAGUCCUGGGGACUCGCAUAUGCGCCUGAAACUGACCUUUGCUGAGGCAUCUAUUUCAAAGACAUCCAUUCGAAUAAACCCACGGCAGCUGCGGACAUAGCUACUGGCUACCAUCAGGAAAAUACUGUUGGAUGAAGAAAGCUUUACAAGCAACCAGGGGUGGGAAGGCGUAUUACAGACAAGUAAAACAUAAGACGCGCACCAAAAGACGACAGAACAGCACCAGUAAAGCGCCAAAGAAGAAGUGACAGCCCGGAGUUCUGUAUCCAACGAAAACACCCCUCACAGGUGAAGGCAAAUGAAGACAGUUACAUUUGCUAAAUGUACAAAUGACAUUUACGAAACGGCACGGCCAGAAAUGCUACACGACAAGAAAUGCUAAAAGUUCUCCAAGAGAAAGGAAAAUGACAACAGACAGAAACUCAGAUCUACAAAAAGGAUGAAGACUGUCAGAAAGGUAAAAAUAUGGGUAAACGUAAGAGAAUUUUUUGCUUGUUUUAAUUUCUUGAAAAUAUAGAUUGACUGCUUAAAGCAAUAACAACAGUGUAUUACAGGAUUUAUGAUACAUGGAGAAGCAGGAUGCAUGACUGUGACAGCACAAAAGAUGGGAAGGGGAAUGGAGUUACACUGUCGUAAGGUUUCUACACUAUACAGGAAGUACUGCAACACUGAAGGCAGUGAGUGAUAAGUUAAAGCCCACAUCAAUUACUGUUUAAAAAAAUAAAAGACCAAAGAGGGUUAGCUAGUAAGCAAUCAUAAAAAUACUCCAUUAAUCCAGAAGGAGGCAGGAAAAGAAAAAAAAAUGAAAGAACAAAUGGGACAAAUGGAAAACACAUGGCCACAAAUGUAUGGACACCAAGGGGGGAAGUGGUGGUGGGAUGAACUGGGAGGUUGGGAUUGACAUGUAUACACUAAUAUGUAUUAAAUGGAAACUAAUAAGAACCUGCUGUAUAAAAAAAUAAAAUAAAAUUCAAAAAAAAAAACGUAAAAAAAAAGAACACACAUGGCCAGUUGGUAGACUUAAACCAGCUGCGUCUAUAAUUAAGGAGAAGUGGUCUAAGCCAGCUGUCCAACAGGACCUUCCAUGACAAGGCUGAGCUGCCAACUGGAGCCACCAGCCACAUGCCGUCACUGAGCACCUGCACGUGACGCAUGCAACCGAGGAAGGAACUUUUUAAUUUUAUUUCAUUUUAACUAAUUUAAAUUUAAAUAGCCACGUGUGGCUAGUGGCCACCAUACUAGACAGUGUAGGUCUAAACUUUUCAAUUAAAAGGAAAUUGUCAGACUGGAUAAAAGAGCAAGACCCAAAUAUAUGCUGUCGAUACAGUAACCAACUGCUGAUGGUAAAAUUCAUAUGGGAAGGCAUAAGACUUAGAACAGCUAGAAUGACUGUACAAAAGAACAAGCUGAAGGACUUACAGUAUCUAAUCUGAGGCUACAAUCACCAAGGAGUGUGGUAUUGUGACAAUCUAUUAUUUAUCUAUUUGUCUACUUAAUCAAAGUUAAAAACUUAGAGUUAUCAAGGAAUAUGCAAGUCACAGACUGGGAGAAAAUAGUAUAUAUAUGACAAAGCACUUGUAUUCAGAAUACAUAAAGAAUUUUGUAAGAUUCAAUAACAAGACAACCCACUUAAAAAAAAAUGGGUAAAACACUUGAACAGACACUUCACAAAAAAGAUAACAAAACAGCCAAUGAGCACAUGAAAGAGUGCGCAACAUUAUUAACAGGUAUCAGGAAAAUGUGAAGCACAACUACAAUAAGAUACCCCUGAACAGCCACUAAAAUGGCAAAAAUUUAAAAGGCUGAUAACAUCAAGCGUUGGAGAUGAUGAACAAAGAUGGGAACUCUGAUAAGUUCGCUGCUGCACAUGCAAAAUGGCACAGCCGCUCUGGAAGGCGGGCAGUGGUUUCUUAUAAAGUUAAGUACACAUAACCACACAGCCAAAAGACCCCGCUUGCCAGCACCCAAGAUAGAGCACCCAUCCACACAAGGACUGACGCACAGAUGGUCGUAGCAGCUUUCCUCCAAACAGUCAGAAGUGGCAAGAAACAAGCGAAGGCCCAACAACUGGCAAAUGGAUAAACAAGUUGUAGUGAAUCCACACGAUGGAAUCUUGAACGACUGACACAUUCCACACGUGGAGAAAUCUCAAAUGCUAAGUAUCUAAACAGUGAUUUAUUCACUGUGAUUUCAGUUUCAGAAAGAAAAAAUCUUUUCCUAUAUUCUCAUAUAUAUAUGAACAUGGAUGAAGAUGUCUCAAAGGGUAGUGACAGACUGUUGGGAGUGGACCUGGAGGUGUAGGUGAGAAAGACGAGCUUGUCACUGUAUAUGGUGAGAGAGUUCCCACGAGGACCCCAAGACUGCUGGCACCAGUGUACCCACACCUUCUGGUUAUUCAAACGCUAAUCUAGGUGCUGCGGUGAAGGGGUUUGACAGAUGUCAUUACGGUCCCAAAUCAGUUAACCUUAGAAAGGGAGAUUAUCCAGGGUGGACCCUUAAAAGGGACAGAGGACUUCCGAGUGGAAGGGAUUUGAAGCAUGAAGGGGCCUUGCCUUUCCAGUUCCCCUUGCUGUAUGGGUCGCAAGGACCUAAGAAUGAUCUCCAGAAGCUGGCAGCAACCGACCAGCAAAGAACAGAACUCUGCCGACA
Globicephala melas (long-finned pilot whale) is the source of this 2986-nucleotide long non-coding RNA. RefSeq lists it as uncharacterized. The record is from RefSeq and is a predicted model, not a curated record. Lineage: Eukaryota; Metazoa; Chordata; Mammalia; Artiodactyla; Delphinidae.